UACAGAGGUCCCAAGCGUUGUUCGGAUUUACUGGGCGUAAAGGGUGCGUAGGCGGUCGAGUAAGUCUGACGUGAAAUCUCCGGGCCUAACCCGGAAACUGCGUUGGAAACUACUAGGCUAGAGGAAUGGAGGGGAGACUGGAAUACUUGGUGUAGCAGUGAAAUGCGUAGAUAUCAAGUGGAACACCAGUGGCGAAGGCGAGUCUCUGGACAUUUCCUGACGCUGAGGCACGAAAGCCAGGGGAGCAAACGGG
RNAcentral lists this ribosomal RNA (253 nucleotides) under uncultured bacterium. Its description in RNAcentral is "partial 16S ribosomal RNA". It matches the Rfam family "Bacterial small subunit ribosomal RNA", at positions 524 to 776 of the family's 1533-position model. The record is from RNAcentral.